AGGGAUGAGCCAGCGGAUAGGCGACCGGAUUCCAACUCCGGUGAAAUGUGGGUUCGACUCCUACCGUCCCUG
This 72-nucleotide transfer RNA is filed under the name Actinomadura barringtoniae. It matches the Rfam family "tRNA". Rfam says of the family: Transfer RNA (tRNA) molecules are approximately 80 nucleotides in length. The record is from Rfam by way of RNAcentral. Lineage: Bacteria; Bacillati; Actinomycetota; Actinomycetes; Streptosporangiales; Thermomonosporaceae.